Molecule: ribosomal RNA, 474 nt
Filed under: uncultured Cryomorphaceae bacterium
Lineage: Bacteria; Pseudomonadati; Bacteroidota; Flavobacteriia; Flavobacteriales; Cryomorphaceae
Description: partial 16S ribosomal RNA
Rfam family: Bacterial small subunit ribosomal RNA
Source: RNAcentral
GUGCAGGAAGAAUGCCCUAUGGUUGGUAAACUGCUUUUWUUUGGGAAUAAACCCAGGGUCGUGYWCCYACGGCUGAAGGUACCWWAWGAAUAAGCACCGGCUAMCUCCGUGCCACCASCCGCGGUAAUACGGAAGGGGGCAAGCGUUAUCCGGAAUCAUUGGGUUUAAAGGGUCCGCAGGCGGGGUUAUAAGUCAGUGGGGAAAACAUACAGCUCAACUGUAGAACUGCCWUUGAUACUGUAAGUCUKGAAUUCGGUSGAAGUGGGCGGAAUAUGACAUGUAGCGGKGAAAUGCUUARAUAUGUCAUAGAACACCGAUAGCGAAGGCAGCUCACUAGGCCUGGAUUGACGCUCAGGGACGAAAGCGUGGGGAUCAAACAGGAUUARAUACCCUGGUAGUCCACGCCGUAAACUAUGAUWACUCGUUUUCGGCACUUAAGUGUGUCGGAGACCAAGCGAAAGUGAUAAGUACUCC